GUGUGCACGUGUGUGUGCACGCAUGUGUGUGCACGUGUGUGUGCACAUGUGUGUGUGUGUGCAUGCGUGCACACAUCCAAGGAUCCACCUAAAGGCCCUUUUGAGCAAGGACUGAACAAAUUAGGACAAGGAAGGACGCUGACCGCCAUCCUGUAACAGUCCUGCCACCUGCUGCCACCUAUGUGAAGUCACUGAGCUCUCUAGACCUUAGUCUUCAUUGGCCAAAUGGGGUCACGUGACACGCUAUCCCGAAUCUUCCAACUCUAACUCUUAGGAUCCUAGAGAACUCAUGUUGGAGCCGGCCAAGGGGGCAAAGCCCGCAGGAAUCGCGGGGCAGAUGGACCGGAGGGAGGGGCCUCUGGGCAGCGGGCCGGGGACCGAUGGGGCACAACUUCGACAUGAGAGUUUCCGAAGUGGGGAACCUUAGCAGUGCCUCGAGAAGGCAUUCUAGGGAGCAGCUGUUGCUAGGCAAAGGGGGAGAGCUACGACGAGGGAUGUUUUUGCCGGGACAACAAUAAAAUGGUUGAAUGGGUAUGGAGAGCAGGGCGACAACGCGGAGGACCAUCUCCUCAUGGAUGUUCUCCUCCCAGGAGACAGUGGAGGAAAAGGAGAGAGAGGGGAACGGCCCGGGGGGUUGGGCCCAGGGGCAAUCCUUGCCAUCAGCAGCUUUUUUAAAAAGUCAUUCAUUCAUUCAUUCAUUCAUUCAUUCAUUCAUUCAUUCCCUCCCAUCAGCAGCUUUUUUAAAAAGUCAUUCAUUCAUUCAUUUGUUCAUUCAUUCAUUCAUUCAUUCACUCGUUCAUUCCCUCAUUCAUUCCUUCCCAUCAGAAGCUAUUAAGGCCACAGGAAGGAAGAGGGGUUGACUGGGAAGAAAGCGGCCAGCGCCGCACCUCCGACUCCUCCGAGCUCCUCCAGGAGCCUGAGACAGUGCGUUCUCCGCCCAGAGGCCCGUCCGCAGUGACACGACAGAGCAGAGCACUCGCACGCCUGAGUGACGAUGCUCUAUGACGAUCCACCCCAUCCCGAGCUGGGGCCGCCGAGUUCUACCCCCUGACUUGUGCGAGGACUGGCCCGAGGCCCGGGGCACGCAGUCCGGAGGGGGGAUGCGGUGGAUGAAGCUGGGCGCAGCCCCUGAAGCCGUCCUUGGCCCCCCAGUCUGUGCUCCUAGAACAGACCUGCUCGCUGUCUGACCCAAGGCAGUGCUCAAGCUGUCCGACAGGAGCCCAACAGCCCCCAAGGACCGCCCGGAGCCCCAGCGGGGCCUCCUUGGCUAGAGAUGUCUGCAGGAAGGGAUGCGGGCAGGGCAGGGGCGCUGAUAGGGAGCCUGGAGAGAUAAACUCCCCCAAAGGGCCCCCACCCCCGCAAUGAGCGGAUUAAUAAGGGUGAGUUUUCCUAUCUCCUGCUCUGGCAAAGCUCCCACUGGGUUGUGCCUGUGGAAUGGGGUGUCCCUAUUUUUAGCGAAUGAUAAAAUGGAUUUCUCAUUUCUGAAAAAAGGGACAUUUGUUAUCUCUGACUCCCGAAUUUGCUUUCUCCAGCUUCUACUUUCGUGGGCGUGCUAGCCGAGGAAGGCACGCGUGCAUGUGAGGCCCAGGCAGUCUCUCAGUCCCUGGCCAAGGCCGAUGAGGUAGGGGGUCAUUUGGAGUCUUCUGCUUCGGCCUGACGGGCCUCCGAUCUGCAGAGGAAGCCGAGAAUCCUUCACUCCUCCAGCUUUCAAAAUUAUUCUUAAUAAUCACUCCUCUUUACGGGGUCGUAUCUUCAGAGGUGGAAGGCCAGAGAGGCCGGGCUUGCAGGCUUGCGACGAGCUUUUCCGGCCAGACUCCACGGGCUGGGAAGUCUGGAUAGCCCGAUCCUCCGUUUGCGGACGACAAACAAGGCUCCAACUGGUGCAGUCUUGGCCGCCAGCACAGAGCUGGCCAGCGCCAGAGCCAGGACUCUACCACGCCGAGGACCCGAAGCACCUAGAUGGUCUCCCGGGGUGCGUACCUUCCCCCUCCAUCCCACGAGAUCCCCGAAACAGAACGUGGUCGCUUUUUCUCUAACGAAAAUGGAUUUUUUAACCACCCAAGGAUGAAGAAGUCAUUCAAAAAGUCAACAUAAUUUAUAAGAUGUCAGAGGCUCAGUGAUUUGUCCCAAUCCAAAAGCCAGUGAGAGCUUGCAGAAUUCAAGCUCAGGUCUUCCUGACUUCAAGUCUCUCUCCCCAAUUCCAGAUGUCCAUUCUUCCUAACAAAACAUCACAGUAGUCUCCUUUGUUAAGGGUCUACUGUGUGCAAGGAAUGGUUCUGCUAGUGUGUUAUCCAGCACCAUCCAGAAGGAAGCCUUCCAUAUGAUAGACACUGUAAAUGGCACGAUCUGCAGAAUAGACGGUCUGGAGCCUGGGAAUCUGUAUUCAAAUCCUGGCUUUUCCAUUCACCCUGUGUCAACUUAGGUAAAUCCUUUCAUUUUUGAGCCUCAGUUCUGUCAUCUGAACGUGAAAGAGUUGGAUUCAAUGGCCUUUAAAGGUCUGUUACAGCUCUAAAUCUACAAACAUAAUUAAAUUCUAAUGAUGAGAGUCCUUAUAAUGAACAUCAGUGAUUAUAUUCUGAAUCAAUAUAGUUGGGCCCUUGGUAGCAACUG
This is a non-coding RNA of Monodelphis domestica (gray short-tailed opossum), 2610 nucleotides long. The record is from RefSeq and is a predicted model, not a curated record. Lineage: Eukaryota; Metazoa; Chordata; Mammalia; Didelphimorphia; Didelphidae.